GGGAACAAAGACUUUUUAUUGACAACUUACAUCAGAUUCAUUAAGGCCAAUGAUUUGAUAAAGUAGUUGAUUCUAAAUGUUGUCAGAGACAGUUACAGUUAUAUCUAACAUCUGUCAGCUACACAGGCACAUAACAAACCAAACAGCGUCAGGCUGAGCUGCACAGUUUUCACCAGAAGAACCAAAAUCAGACUGAGGUUCUGUGUGACGUGACUGAUGUUAGUGGACCUGCUCUUACUCUGUGUUUGCAGGUUUGAGACCUGAUUUCUGCUGGAGAGGCAGCUCCUUCUCCAGAGGUGCAGGAUAGUCGGGCCAUAAACCUUUAACAAUCUCUUCAGCUUCCUGAAACCCUUGGAAAAUGAGAUCUUUUCCAAUUUUUGGUGUUCCUGCAUCACAGAACUUGAGGUUGUUUCUCAGUCGGUCCGGACCAAACUCCAGCACCUGGAACAGAAACAGAACAAAUGCAGGAUCUUUGGAUAAAAUACGAUGAGGAUGCAGAGCUCGACCGUUAGCAGGGGCAGCUGCAGCUGUACUGUGAUGUUCAGAUACAGAAAAACACAUUUGCUUAUUCUAACAUGUUUCUCUCGUCCCUUCGAUGACUUAGCAAAUACCCUCAAUGUGUUUCCUUUGUCACCAUCAGACUAAAAAUGGGGGUGUGGAGGCUUCAUCUGUCUAUAAAGAGAGAAGAUGGAGCAGAGAUGGUACCUUUCCUUCCUCCAUGUGCAGAGCGACGGCCACAUGAUCCCAAACAUAAAACUCACAGUCUUUCACAGCCAGCUCCCGAACCUCCAUCAGGUUUUCAUCAGGUCUCUGGAUCAACUCAUACCUGACAGAAACAAACAUUUAAAGAGGUAAAUGGUUAAAAUUCAGUUGAAUUUGUUCAGUUCGUGUGUUUGUUUCAUAGUAAGUGCAGCCCCAGUUGGUCAGUGUGUGGUGAAGACGAACUACCAGACUGAGGCACCAACAUGGAAGAAAAAGGCUGCAAACAAUAAACAUGGAGCGGUGCAGGUCAGUCUGGUCUCACCUGUGCGUCUCACACAUGGCCUCAGGCCUCCAGACGAAGCGUCCGUCUUUGUAAACACAGACGGCGUUCGGGUCGUCAGUCAGCUCAGGAUACUCUGAGGACAGCUCCUGAUUGACCGGACUGUGGACCAGCACAACAUACAUCACUUCCUGUUUGUACAGGAUGGUCUUGAACACCCUCAUGACAGGUUGAGCACCAGAGCAACACUGGGGACAACAAAAGGAUUUGGUUAAACUUUUCUCCAACACAGUGUGAGGGGUCAUCCAGCAGGGACAAUAAGUGAUUUGUUGUUUCUUUUCUCUUGUAACUUGUGUGAACUGGCCCUUUAACCUGUCAGUUCACAAACACACUGUUGAACUAAAUACUCUGGCACUGUGUCCCUGCUUCCUGUCACAGUAAAGGUGCUGACAGACCUGCUGCCUGUAGGCCUCCAGCAGCUCCUCCAGGGGGAAGGUGAAGCGGUAGGAGCCCAGCCUGGAGGUCUCCUUGAAGGCUGGGGAGGUGGCAAAAUUCCACAAGAAGCUCUGCUGCCCCUGGGCCUGCUCCUGUGUCUGGUCUGGGUAGGUUUCCUCCAGGAGCCUCUGCUCAGCUGAUGUUAUAUCAUCAGGACCAACAGCCAGACUCCACCACAGCAGCUUUUGAGAGUUAUCUGGGUCCUUGAAGCCACCUUCCUCUUGGAUGCCACGCAAUCCAGCUUGAUCUGUGUCAUGUUUCAGGUGAGACACAUGAAUCUCUGGUCGAGGGUACGUGGGGAUGAUGUUGGUUUUUUCUAGGUACUGGUUUCUCAAAUGUUGAGCCCUCUGUCUUAAAUCAUUUAUCUUCAGGUGGAAACCUUCAACAUAAUUUUCCUUGUGUCCUCUCCUGUUUGUUCGUUCCUCCAUGGUCAGAUGGAAAAGGAUGUAGAUUAAAAGUUUGUAGUGUCAGAAAUAUCUGCUCACUGUCCUCUGGUUCUGAGUCCACAGAUCUCUGAGCUCUAACAGGUGAGUUGCAGUAUUUAAAUAUAAACCACACCCAUUUCCUUCUUUCAGGAGACACUUCAUUGUUCUGAGAAACAUCAUUUGACUCAUCACAAGUCAAAUUUCAUUCACCCAGGCAAAUAUCAUGAAUGACAACAGGACUGAAUGAUAGUUUUUACAGUACGAAACACCCUCUGUCCUCAGACCCUUGGAAAAGGAAAAACUCUCCCAAAACAAAACGUUUGGAAGAAAAAUG
Molecule: long non-coding RNA, 2236 nt
Filed under: Mastacembelus armatus (zig-zag eel)
Lineage: Eukaryota; Metazoa; Chordata; Actinopteri; Synbranchiformes; Mastacembelidae
Description: lncRNA (ENSMAMG00000024909.1)
Source: RNAcentral